UACGAAGGGGCUAGCGUUGCUCGGAAUCACUUGGGCGUAAAGGGUGCGUAGGCGGGUCUUUAAGUCAGGGUGAAAUCCUGGAGCUCAACUCCAGAACUGCCUUUGAUACUGAGGAUCUUGAGUUCGGGAGAGGUGAGUGGAACUGCGAGUGUAGAGGUGAAAUUCGUAGAUAUUCGCAAGAACACCAGUGGCGAAGGCGGCUCACUGGCCCGAUACUGACGCUGAGGCACGAAAGCGUGGGGAGCAACAGGG
RNAcentral lists this ribosomal RNA (252 nucleotides) under uncultured bacterium. Its description in RNAcentral is "partial 16S ribosomal RNA". It matches the Rfam family "Bacterial small subunit ribosomal RNA", at positions 524 to 776 of the family's 1533-position model. The record is from RNAcentral.